This 464-nucleotide ribosomal RNA is filed under the name Vreelandella stevensii. RNAcentral's name for it is "partial 16S ribosomal RNA". It matches the Rfam family "Bacterial small subunit ribosomal RNA", at positions 338 to 795 of the family's 1533-position model. Lineage: Bacteria; Pseudomonadati; Pseudomonadota; Gammaproteobacteria; Oceanospirillales; Halomonadaceae. The record is from RNAcentral.
CCUACGGGUGGCAGCAGUGGGGAAUAUUGGACAAUGGGGGGAACCCUGAUCCAGCCAUGCCGCGUGUGUGAAGAAGGCCCUCGGGUUGUAAAGCACUUUCAGUGAGGAAGAACGCCUGGUGGUUAAUACCCAUCAGGAAAGACAUCACUCACAGAAGAAGCACCGGCUAACUCCGUGCCAGCAGCCGCGGUAAUACGGAGGGUGCGAGCGUUAAUCGGAAUUACUGGGCGUAAAGCGCGCGUAGGUGGCUUGAUAAGCCGGUUGUGAAAGCCCCGGGCUCAACCUGGGAACGGCAUCCGGAACUGUCAAGCUAGAGUGCAGGAGAGGAAGGUAGAAUUCCCGGUGUAGCGGUGAAAUGCGUAGAGAUCGGGAGGAAUACCAGUGGCGAAGGCGGCCUUCUGGACUGACACUGACACUGAGGUGCGAAAGCGUGGUAGCAAACAGGAUUAGAUAUCCGAGUAGUC